RNAcentral lists this ribosomal RNA (468 nucleotides) under uncultured archaeon. RNAcentral's name for it is "bacterial SSU rRNA". It matches the Rfam family "Archaeal small subunit ribosomal RNA", at positions 521 to 883 of the family's 1478-position model. The record is from RNAcentral.
GUAGUCGCGUUAGGUUUGCUGCCUGGGAGGCCUCCAAUUCUCCCAUACUUACCCGAAUUGGCGGGGGAGCACUAGGGCUUGCGUCGGCCUUCCCUUGCGUUCACCCUAAAGGGUUUCCUGUUACACUUCACUGGCCGUCGUUUUACCACUAAUGGGCUGCCGGAAAUACUGCAGAACUAGGGAGUGGGAGAGGUAGACGGUACUCGGGAGGAAGGGGUAAAAUCCUUUGAUCUCUUGAUGACCACCUGUGGCGAAGGCGGUCUACCAGAACACGUUCGACGGUGAGGGAUGAAAGCUGGGGGAGCAAACCGGAUUAGAUACCCGGGUAGUCCCAGCUGUAAACGAUGCAGACUCGGUGAUGCACUGGCUUUUGGCCAGUGCAGUGCCGCAGGGAAGCCGUUAAGUUUGCCGCCUGGGAAGUACGUACGCAAGUAUGAAACUUAAAGGAAUUGGCGGGGGAGCACGAGG